Molecule: ribosomal RNA, 261 nt
Filed under: uncultured prokaryote
Description: partial 16S ribosomal RNA
Rfam family: Bacterial small subunit ribosomal RNA
Source: RNAcentral
UACGUAGGGUGCGAGCGUUGUCCGGAAUUACUGGGCGUAAAGAGCUCGUAGGUGGUUUGUCACGUCGUCUGUGAAAUGUAUCUGCUUAACGGGUACACUGCAGUUGAAACUGGUUUUCUUGAGUGCGUAAGAAGCAGGCGGAAUUCGUUGUGUAGCGGUGAAAUGCUUAGAUAUGACGAGGAACUCCUAUUGCGAAGGCAGCUUGCUGGGUCGUUACUGACGCUGAUGCUCGAAGGUGCGGGGAUCAAACAGGAUUAGAUA